UUAAGCGACUAAGCGUACACGGUGGAUGCCCUGGCAGUCAGAGGCGAUGAAGGACGUGCUAAUCUGCGAUAAGCGUCGGUAAGGUGAUAUGAACCGUUAUAACCGGCGAUUUCCGAAUGGGGAAACCCAGUGUGAUUCGUCACACUAUCAUUAACUGAAUCCAUAGGUUAAUGAGGCGAACCGGGGGAACUGAAACAUCUAAGUACCCCGAGGAAAAGAAAUCAACCGAGAUUCCCCCAGUAGCGGCGAGCGAACGGGGAGCAGCCCAGAGCCUGAAUCAGUGUGUGUGUUAGUGGAAGCGUCUGGAAAGGCGCGCGAUACAGGGUGACAGCCCCGUACACAAAAAUGCACAUACUGUGAGCUCGAUGAGUAGGGCGGGACACGUGGUAUCCUGUCUGAAUAUGGGGGGACCAUCCUCCAAGGCUAAAUACUCCUGACUGACCGAUAGUGAACCAGUACCGUGAGGGAAAGGCGAAAAGAACCCCGGCGAGGGGAGUGAAAAAGAACCUGAAACCGUGUACGUACAAGCAGUGGGAGCCUCUUUAUGGGGUGACUGCGUACCUUUUGUAUAAUGGGUCAGCGACUUAUAUUCUGUAGCAAGGUUAACCGAAUAGGGGAGCCGAAGGGAAACCGAGUCUUAACUGGGCGUUAAGUUGCAGGGUAUAGACCCGAAACCCGGUGAUCUAGCCAUGGGCAGGUUGAAGGUUGGGUAACACUAACUGGAGGACCGAACCGACUAAUGUUGAAAAAUUAGCGGAUGACUUGUGGCUGGGGGUGAAAGGCCAAUCAAACCGGGAGAUAGCUGGUUCUCCCCGAAAGCUAUUUAGGUAGCGCCUCGUGAAUUCAUCUCCGGGGGUAGAGCACUGUUUCGGCAAGGGGGUCAUCCCGACUUACCAACCCGAUGCAAACUGCGAAUACCGGAGAAUGUUAUCACGGGAGACACACGGCGGGUGCUAACGUCCGUCGUGAAGAGGGAAACAACCCAGACCGCCAGCUAAGGUCCCAAAGUCAUGGUUAAGUGGGAAACGAUGUGGGAAGGCCCAGACAGCCAGGAUGUUGGCUUAGAAGCAGCCAUCAUUUAAAGAAAGCGUAAUAGCUCACUGGUCGAGUCGGCCUGCGCGGAAGAUGUAACGGGGCUAAACCAUGCACCGAAGCUGCGGCAGCGACACUAUGUGUUGUUGGGUAGGGGAGCGUUCUGUAAGCCUGUGAAGGUGUACUGUGAGGUAUGCUGGAGGUAUCAGAAGUGCGAAUGCUGACAUAAGUAACGAUAAAGCGGGUGAAAAGCCCGCUCGCCGGAAGACCAAGGGUUCCUGUCCAACGUUAAUCGGGGCAGGGUGAGUCGACCCCUAAGGCGAGGCCGAAAGGCGUAGUCGAUGGGAAACAGGUUAAUAUUCCUGUACUUGGUGUUACUGCGAAGGGGGGACGGAGAAGGCUAUGUUGGCCGGGCGACGGUUGUCCCGGUUUAAGCGUGUAGGCUGGUUUUCCAGGCAAAUCCGGAAAACUAAGGCUGAGGCGUGAUGACGAGGCACUACGGUGCUGAAGCAACAAAUGCCCUGCUUCCAGGAAAAGCCUCUAAGCAUCAGGUAACAUCAAAUCGUACCCCAAACCGACACAGGUGGUCAGGUAGAGAAUACCAAGGCGCUUGAGAGAACUCGGGUGAAGGAACUAGGCAAAAUGGUGCCGUAACUUCGGGAGAAGGCACGCUGAUAUGUAGGUGAAGCGACUUGCUCGUGGAGCUGAAAUCAGUCGAAGAUACCAGCUGGCUGCAACUGUUUAUUAAAAACACAGCACUGUGCAAACACGAAAGUGGACGUAUACGGUGUGACGCCUGCCCGGUGCCGGAAGGUUAAUUGAUGGGGUUAGCGGUAACGCGAAGCUCUUGAUCGAAGCCCCGGUAAACGGCGGCCGUAACUAUAACGGUCCUAAGGUAGCGAAAUUCCUUGUCGGGUAAGUUCCGACCUGCACGAAUGGCGUAAUGAUGGCCAGGCUGUCUCCACCCGAGACUCAGUGAAAUUGAACUCGCUGUGAAGAUGCAGUGUACCCGCGGCAAGACGGAAAGACCCCGUGAACCUUUACUAUAGCUUGACACUGAACAUUGAGCCUUGAUGUGUAGGAUAGGUGGGAGGCUUUGAAGUGUGGACGCCAGUCUGCAUGGAGCCGACCUUGAAAUACCACCCUUUAAUGUUUGAUGUUCUAACGUUGACCCGUGAUCCGGGUUGCGGACAGUGUCUGGUGGGUAGUUUGACUGGGGCGGUCUCCUCCUAAAGAGUAACGGAGGAGCACGAAGGUUGGCUAAUCCUGGUCGGACAUCAGGAGGUUAGUGCAAUGGCAUAAGCCAGCUUGACUGCGAGCGUGACGGCGCGAGCAGGUGCGAAAGCAGGUCAUAGUGAUCCGGUGGUUCUGAAUGGAAGGGCCAUCGCUCAACGGAUAAAAGGUACUCCGGGGAUAACAGGCUGAUACCGCCCAAGAGUUCAUAUCGACGGCGGUGUUUGGCACCUCGAUGUCGGCUCAUCACAUCCUGGGGCUGAAGUAGGUCCCAAGGGUAUGGCUGUUCGCCAUUUAAAGUGGUACGCGAGCUGGGUUUAGAACGUCGUGAGACAGUUCGGUCCCUAUCUGCCGUGGGCGCUGGAGAACUGAGGGGGGCUGCUCCUAGUACGAGAGGACCGGAGUGGACGCAUCACUGGUGUUCGGGUUGUCAUGCCAAUGGCACUGCCCGGUAGCUAAAUGCGGAAGAGAUAAGUGCUGAAAGCAUCUAAGCACGAAACUUGCCCCGAGAUGAGUUCUCCCUGACUCCCUGAGAGUCCUGAAGGAACGUUGAAGACGACGACGUUGAUAGGCCGGGUGUGUAAGCGCAGCGAUGCGUUGAGCUAACCGGUACUAAUGAACCGUGAGGCUUAACCU
RNAcentral lists this ribosomal RNA (2901 nucleotides) under Escherichia coli. RNAcentral's name for it is "23S ribosomal RNA". It matches the Rfam family "Bacterial large subunit ribosomal RNA". Lineage: Bacteria; Pseudomonadati; Pseudomonadota; Gammaproteobacteria; Enterobacterales; Enterobacteriaceae. The record is from RNAcentral.